UAAUUCAAUAGUGUGAUCGUUUUUGCUUUUUUAUAUAUAGUUGACUUUUUACUCCUAUUGUGGAGGUGUGCCUAGAUUGGCAGAAGAUAGACAAUACAGAUACAGUCACUCGAAAUAGAUUCCACUAAUAAAAUAAAGUUUACCUAAAAAUCAAAAUAAUUCAUGCAUUCUGUAGAUUUUUUUUAUUCAUUUUCAUAGGGCCUGUGUCGUUAAAUCUUAAAUAAAACAUGAUAAUAUAGGCUAUGCCUGUGUCGUUAUUUACGUGACGAU
This 270-nucleotide long non-coding RNA is filed under the name Mytilus galloprovincialis (Mediterranean mussel). Lineage: Eukaryota; Metazoa; Mollusca; Bivalvia; Mytilida; Mytilidae. The record is from RNAcentral.